AAAAGAAAAGUAACAGGACUGUAUGUGAAUUACCAAUGAUCUUUCAGAGGAACUCAUAUUUAAGAGCUGUGUCUUCCAAGAGGGCUUGGACAAUGGGAGACACCCACAGGAGGCUGGAGGUCAGGAGAGGAGAAUUUGGGAUGUUUCUUACCCUAAUCCUUUCCUGUGCUGGGCUGCAGGUCAGCAGUGACUGCAGUUCAUCAAACCGAGUCCUACCUGGGCAUCCCUCUUCUUUAGUUCCUUUGGUUAUGAAGUCUGGCUGCCUACUGUUGCUGGUACUGAGAUUACUCAUAUUUACUUUUCAGUUCCCUAUCCCUGCCCGUGUUAAUAGUCCCUUCCUUACAUGGCAGUUUUUGAGUGAUCUUGAAAUUUGUCUCCCUCCUUUUCAGGGUCACUAG
RNAcentral lists this long non-coding RNA (398 nucleotides) under Callithrix jacchus (white-tufted-ear marmoset). RNAcentral describes it as "lncRNA (ENSCJAG00000070529.1)". The record is from RNAcentral. Lineage: Eukaryota; Metazoa; Chordata; Mammalia; Primates; Cebidae.